This 491-nucleotide ribosomal RNA is filed under the name uncultured Pseudomonadota bacterium. Its description in RNAcentral is "bacterial SSU rRNA". It matches the Rfam family "Bacterial small subunit ribosomal RNA", at positions 355 to 864 of the family's 1533-position model. Lineage: Bacteria; Pseudomonadati; Pseudomonadota. The record is from RNAcentral.
UGGGGAAUAUUGGACAAUGGGCGCAAGCCUGAUCCAGCCACGCCGCGUGGGUGAUGAAGGCCCUAGGGUUGUAAAGCCCUUUCGGCGGGGAAGAUAAUGACGGUACCCGCAGAAGAAGCCCCGGCUAACUUCGUGCCAGCAGCCGCGGUAAUACGAAGGGGGCUAGCGUUGCUCGGAAUCACUGGGCGUAAAGCGCACGUAGGCGGACUCUUAAGUCGGGGGUGAAAUCCUGGAGCUCAACUCCAGAACUGCCUUCGAUACUGGGAGUCUUCGAGUUCGGGAGAGGUGAGUGGAACUGCGAGUGUAGAGGUGAAAUUCGUAGAUAUUCGCAAGAACACCAGUGGCGAAGGCGGCUCACUGGCCCGAUACUGACGCUGAGGUGCGAAGCGUGGGGAGCAAACAGGAUUAGAUACCCUGGUAGUCCACGCCGUAAACGAUGGAUGCUAGCCGUUGGCGGGUUUACUCGUCAGUGGCGCAGCUAACGCAUUAAG